RNAcentral lists this ribosomal RNA (809 nucleotides) under uncultured bacterium. Its description in RNAcentral is "bacterial SSU rRNA". It matches the Rfam family "Bacterial small subunit ribosomal RNA", at positions 15 to 824 of the family's 1533-position model. The record is from RNAcentral.
GAUCCUGGCUCAGAUUGAACGCUAGCGGCAUGCUUUACACAUGCAAGUCGAACGGCAGCGCGGGGCAACCUGGCGGCGAGUGGCGAACGGGUGAGUAAUACAUCGGAACGUGCCCUGUGAUGGGGGAUAACUACGCGAAAGCGUGGCUAAUACCGCAUACGACCUACGGGUGAAAGUGGGGGAUCGCAAGACCUCAUGUCAUAGGAGCGGCCGAUGGCGGAUUAGCUAGUUGGUGAGGUAAAGGCUUACCAAGGCGACGAUCCGUAGCUGGUCUGAGAGGACGACCAGCCACACUGGGACUGAGACACGGCCCAGACUCCUACGGGAGGCAGCAGUGGGGAAUCUUGGACAAUGGGGGCAACCCUGAUCCAGCAAUGCCGCGUGUGGGAUGAAGGCCUUCGGGUUGUAAACCACUUUUGGCGGGGGCGAAAUAUCGAGUGCUAAUACCAUUCGGUGAUGACGGUACCCGCAGAAUAAGCACCGGCUAACUACGUGCCAGCAGCCGCGGUAAUACGUAUGGUGCGAGCGUUAAUCGGAAUUACUGGGCGUAAAGCGUGCGCAGGCGGUUUGGUAAGACAGGUGUGAAAUUCCCGGGCUCAACCUGGGGACUGCAUUUGUGACUGCCUAACUAGAGUGCGGCAGAGGGGAGUGGAAUUCCGCGUGUAGCAGUGAAAUGCGUAGAUAUGCGGAGGAACACCGAUGGCGAAGCAACUCCCUGGGCCUGCACUGACGCUCAUGCACGAAAGCGUGGGGAGCAAACAGGAUAGAUACCCUGGUAGUCCACGCCCUAACGAUGUCAACUAGUUGUU